AACGAACGCUGGCGGCAGGCUUAACACAUGCAAGUCGAACGAGAUCUUCGGAUCUAGUGGCGCACGGGUGAGUAACGCGUGGGAAUCUACCUUGGAGUCUGGGAUAACAGUUGGAAACGACUGCUAAUACCGGAUACGCCCCCUGGGGGAAAGGUUUACUGCUCCAAGAUGAGCCCGCGUCCAAUUAGGUAGUUGGUGAGGUAAAGGCUCACCAAGCCGACGAUUGGUAGCUGGUCUGAGAGGAUGGCCAGCCACACUGGGACUGAGACACGGCCCAGACUCCUACGGGAGGCAGCAGUGGGGAAUAUUGGACAAUGGGGGCAACCCUGAUCCAGCCAUGCCGCGUGAGUGAUGAAGGCCUUAGGGUUGUAAAGCUCUUUCGCCGGUGACGAUGAUGACGGUAACCGGAGAAGAAGCCCCGGCUAACUUCGUGCCAGCCGCCGCCGUAA
This 449-nucleotide ribosomal RNA is filed under the name uncultured bacterium. RNAcentral describes it as "partial 16S ribosomal RNA". It matches the Rfam family "Bacterial small subunit ribosomal RNA", at positions 29 to 523 of the family's 1533-position model. The record is from RNAcentral.